UAGGGAAUCUUCCGCAAUGGGCGAAAGCUUGACGGAGCAACGCCGCGUGAGUGAUGAAGGUCUUCGGAUCGUAAAACUCUGUUAUUAGGGAAGAACAAAUGUGUAAGUAACUAUGCACGUCUUGACGGUACCUAAUCAGACAGCCACGGCUAACUAUGUGCCAGCAGCCGCGGUAAUACGUAGGUGGCAAGCGUUAUCCGGAAUUAUUGGGCGUAAAGCGCGCGUAGGCGGUUUUUUAAGUCUGAUGUGAAAGCCCACGGCUAAACCGUGGAGGGUCAUUGGAAACUGGAGAACUGGAGGGCAGAAGAGUAAAGUGGAAUUCCAUGUGUAGCGGUGAAAUGCGAAGAGAUAUGGAGGAACACCAGUGGCGAGGGCGACUAUCUGGUCUGUAACUGACGCUGAUGUGCAAAAGCGGGGUGAUCAAACAGG
Molecule: ribosomal RNA, 429 nt
Filed under: Actinomycetes bacterium
Lineage: Bacteria; Bacillati; Actinomycetota; Actinomycetes
Description: Actinobacteria bacterium partial 16S ribosomal RNA
Rfam family: Bacterial small subunit ribosomal RNA
Source: RNAcentral